UGACAAGAAUGUGCAAGUUUGACCAUUUGACUUGAAUAUAGGCGGUAAAUAUAGCCGCGAGGGGUUAAAGACAAUUGGCGAAAUGAAAGUCACUCAAAAACAAAGAGCGAUAACAAGGCAGUAUCGACAUAGAUUUAAAGAUAUUUUGUCCUGUUUUUUUCAGUUAUUUGAUUUAGUGGACUAUAAUAAACUACCGCGUUGUUGCACUAUUAAGCAUGUUCCUCUUGUUCGCAAGAAUGGGAUAGUGCAGAGGAUAAAGAAGAAGAGCAUUGCUAUGGAUGUAGCAGUGAUGAAGAAAUUUGACAUCUCCGUCAUAAUUAUUACAUGUUCAAGAUAAUUGGAUUAGUAUAUAUAUAUACUAGACAUCGGAGCCCGUGCUAGCACGACCCAAUAUAUAUCAUUUUUUAUUUCAAUUUAUGUGACAAGGACAAAAUUAAAGAGUUAGUCAAACUUUAAUAUUAAUUUAAAAUAGUUUAAAUUUUUAAUUAUUGUUAACUAUGGUAAAAAAAAAUUUAUGUCUUUUAACAUUCUAAAUUGUCAAUUAUUGUUGUAUUAUUUAUGUAAGGUAUUUAUUACAUUCUCUAAGCUAUCAACCCCAAUUUAACCUUUGAACUCAUUGAUGUUCAUUAAAACGUGUCAAAAUGUAUUUAUUAUGCAUUUAUUAAUGUCAUUCAAAAUGCAUUUAUUUAUUCUACCCAUAGCUUAUUGGAACUCAAUGAUUAUCAAUUAUUUGAAAAUGGAUGUUCAUUGCAUGUUGAUUGUGGAGUUGUUACAAACUAUACUUAUAUGUUUAUUUUAUAAUUUGAAAAUUAGAUUCAAACAACUCUUUUUAUGAUAUAUAUAAAUAACAUAAAAUCUAAAAUAUACUAAUAUAAUAAACUAAAACUUCACACAUAAUAUAUUGUUCGAACUAUAUUAUUGCAAGUAUUUUUUUGUCAUUAAAUUAGCUUAGAAGACAAAUCUUUCAUUAUAAAAACGGAUGAAGUAAUGAAAAGAGGAGACGAUGCGGCUCCUCUCAAGUAGUAGCUUUUGGAACGAAUGUCUAGACAAUUACACAAUCCGCUUCAUUAAAUGAUCUGAUUUUUGGAAUAACUUUCAAUACACUGUCAAUACAAUUUAUUUCCAUUCAUUGUUACACAGUGUAAUCUGCCCGCAAAAUAGUACAUCACUACACAAAACGAAAAGUCACAAUUUGUCACUACUUAAAAGGGUUUCAAACUCUUCAUUUCACUAUUAUUGCCAAACACCGAAAAGUUCAUUUUGAAUUUAAACUUUUUUGAUUCCGAAAAUUUGCCUUUAAUCAAAAAAAUGAAGAGAGCGAAAAUUUCACUGAUGUGUGUUACAUUUAAUUUUGUUUCCGUUUGUAUUCGACUCCUUAAUUCAUUUUAAUUUACAGAUGUGUGUUUAAUUUAAUUAUUUUUUUCAGUAGAACUAUUUAAAAAAUAUAUAAAUCCAGAUGCUGCCCUAAAACUAAUUCACAAAGCUUCAAAAGGAGGAUACGGCGCUGCAAAAUAUGCUUUUGGCAUAAUAUCUAUCUUCAUAGGCGGUGUAUAUGAAGAUCAAGGGGUAAAGACAAUUGGUAAAUAAGAUUGUAAUAGUUUAUAUUUAAAUCUUCUUGACAAAAAUUGAAGAUUUUUGAGUAUUCCAAGUUGAAUCCUUAUGAUGAAAAUAAACCUAAAGGAUAUAAUAUUAAAUGAGUUAUAUGUAAUGAUAAAAGUUAUAAAAUAAAAAAUGAUACAUUCAUGAUUAUAUGAAUUAAAAAAUGUAGGGAUUUUAUUACAUUAAGUUAUCUAGCCGAAUUAUUCCUAUGAAUUCAAUGAUUUUCAUUAAAUGUGGCAAAAUGUAUUUAUUUUGCAUUUAUUAAUGUGAUAAAAAAAUCUAUUUUUUUUAUUCUUCCCAUAGAUCAGACAUUGGAACUUAAUGAUCAUUAAGAGUUCCUUAUCAUUAAUUGAAAAUUGAUGUUCAUUCCAUGUGGAAUGUGAUUUUGUGAUAGCACAUCCUAUAAAAUAAUUUGUAGGGUUAAAAGAGAUACUUAUAUGUUUAUUUUGUAUUUUAGAUACAAACAACUUCACACAUAAUAUUUGUCAUUGAAUUAACUUAGAAGAUAAAUCUUUCAAUAAAAGAGUCGGUCAAUAAAAAUAUUCAAUAAUGGAAAUAGAAGAGAGUAGCUUUUUGAAACGAAUACCUAGACAACUACUUCUCACAAUCUCCUUCAUUAAAUGAUCUGAUUUAUGGAACAACUUCCGAAGCACUCUCAAUACCAUUCAUCUCAACUGAUAAGUCACAACUCUUCAAACUUGAAAUUCUUUGAAUCCGAAAAUCUAACUUGAGUGUUUGUCUUCCCUAAGUUAAUAGCUUGUACAUAAAGUUUCCACACACUUCCCAAAGACAGCUAGCUACUCCUUCUACGAGAGAGUUGAUAUUCAUUAAGAAGCGUAAAUAUAGUUCUUUUCGUAAUUAUAAACGAAUGCUAUUGCAGCGCAAAUGUUUAAAGCAAGAUUAAACGUUUAGUCAAUUAGUCAUGAGUUCGAGUCUAGGUUAGGUCCCCAUAUUUAUGUUAUUAUUUUUGCGUCGCUUCCCGUUCAUUUUAUUUUAAUUUUCGACUCAAAGUUUUUGAUUACAUUUAUUAUCUAUGAAAUUAAUAAUUAAAGGUCUGAAAUAACUUAUAUCAUAAUAAAUUUUGAUAAUGCAUUAAUUUAAUUAUAUUUUAAAUUAUUAUCUUCCAAUAAAAUUGAUCUUAAAAAAGAUGAGUGUAAGAAAUUCAACUUAUCAAAUCAAAUCUUGUCAAAAUUCUAGGUGUACUCAAGAACUUAUCUUAGACUUGAAAAAAUAAUAAAACUAUUCCGUCGAUUCACCUUUGUUAUAUUUACUACUACAAAUUUUUUAUAUAAGAAUAAGUUUAUUUUCAAUAAUAAUAAUAACUAAGGGUCUGAAAAUUUUUAUAUCAUAGAAUAUUUUGAUGAUUAAAUUAAUUAAUUAAAUUUUAUAUUCUUACCUUUCGAUAAAAAAUCUUAAUUAAUGGAUUUGCCUUACAAAGGAAGAGUGCAAGAAAAUUCAAAUUUUGUCAACUUCCUAGCCUCUAGGUGUACUCAAGUACUUCUUUUAGGUUUGAACAACUAAUUCAUCAUCACUAUGCAAAUAAUGUUCUGGCCCAUCGUAUGCAUCAUCGGAAUCUUCAUGAUGUUCAUCAUUUUGGGACAACAAACUAUCAUCCUCCUCUAACCCCAAAACAUUAUUCAAUAAAUCGUUUAAUUGGCUAUUCUGACUAGUCGAUUCCAUUUGUUAAAAUUAUAUAAAACCAACAACAAAAUAAAUUCUUGAUCAACAAAUUAAAAGAAGAAAGGAUGAGAGUGAAGAGUGAUAGAUGUAGGAGAGGUGGUGGAAUGUGAUAUAAAAAGUAAAGUAAGAGAGAGAGCAAAUAAUUAUUAAAAUGUUAAAGGUGAUUUUCAUUUUUGGAGGGAAAUAUAAGAGGUUUUGGAGCAAAAGAGGCAUUUUCGUCAUUUAUCCGUGUCUUGUCAAUUAAUGCAAAAAUUUUGACUGACCAUCGGCUCCACUUAUAUUGUGCCACGUGGAAGUGUUGGGUCCCAUUUCAGAAAAUGAUUUUCUCUCUCUUCUUAAACGUUUUUUUUCAUCUUUCCUACUUUUUUUUUACUUCUUUUUCAUUGACUUUUCUUUUCAAAUUAAUGUUUCAAAUUUCUCUAUUUCCAUACUUGUAUAAUUUUAUUCAUGGAAAAUAUAAAAAUAUGAAAUCCAAAAAGAAAAUAUUCAUUCAAUUUCUAACAUUUUAAAAUUAAUUAUUUAUAUUACUAAAAAUAGUUAGAUAAAAUUAUUUGUUAAUUUACAAAAUAUAAUUAAUUACAAUUUUUUUUUAUUAUAACAUUUUUUUUCUUUUUGUAAGUGUAAAUAAAAUUUAUAAAUUUUAAAUUACAUAAGUUUUUAUACUAAUUUCAUGAAAUUAAAAAAACGGACAGCAUCCAUAAAUACCUAUAUAAAUACAUAUUCUUUCCGUUAAUUUAUACGAUAUCUUAUUUUUGAAAUUCAAGCUAGGUGAAAUUUUUCAUCACUUUAACCUUUUUUAUUUUUCUUUCUAUUUAAUUUUUGUGGACUUCUCAAAAAUAUACGAUACUAUAAAAAUUUUAUAGGGUACAUCAUAUAGGAUCCUUCAAAAAAAACAAAUUACGCAUUAUCUAAGAAUUUAAUCAUUUUAAAGAAAUAUGAUAAAUUAUUUCCAAUGAUUUUAUUAUUUAACGACGAUAUAUUAAGAUGUCUUGUUAAUAUUUGAUUUAAAUAAAAAUAAUCAAUAAAAUUACGAGUCAUAUCAACAAGAAAAAGCACUAUCAACAAUAUCAAAAUAAAACUAUAAAUUAAACUACGAAGUAAAUUGAAUAAAAUUUUAUUAUUAUAAAGAGAAACACAUGAAUACUAACAAAGAGAACAAUUUUUUUUUCCAGUUUUGAAGAGGGUUAUACGUAAAAUCAUUACGGUCCAUUUAUUAAUAAAAUAAUAGAAUGUUAAAAUUUAUCCUAAAAAAUCAAUGUCUAUUAUUACUUAAAUAAUUUUUAAUUUUAUAUUACUUUGGUAAAUAUGAUUGUAAAAGUUUAUAUUUGAAUUGCUUCACAAAAAUUGAAGAUUUUUCACUAUUAUAAGUCGAAUCAUUAUGAUGAAAUAAAUGUAAUAGAUAUAGUAUUAUAUGAGUUAUGCUCUCUCAUAAAUACAAGUCAGUUGAAUGCGAUUAUAUAAGCAUAAUCAAUUUUCCCUUCACGAGUAGUGCUAAAUGGCAAGACACUUUUUUGGCAUGAAUUGGCAGGACACGACGAAAUGACCAAAUAGCCCUUACGUGUGUUCAAAAAUGAUUAUUUGAUACGAGUAAAUUUGUCACUAGAUAAUUGGUCUCUAACAAUUGUUAGUCGAAAAAUAAAAGAAAAAUAAAUAAAAUUUGUGAAUGGACGAGAAAUAAAUGACUAAUUUUUAUAAGGUAAGAAAAUAUAGUUCAAUUAAUUAAUUUAAUCAUUAAUAUUUUCAAUGUUACGUAAUAAUUAUUUGAGGCAUUUAAAAUACAAAUUUCAUGAAAAAUAAAUUUUAUUCUUAUAUCAAAAUGUAAAUAACGUGAAAUGAUAGAAUGAAUUAGUUGUUCAAACCUAAAAGAAGUACUUGAGUACACCUAGAGGCUAAGAAGUUGACAAAAGUUGAAUUUUUUUGCACUCUUCCUUUGUAAGGCAAAUCCAUUAAUUAAGAUUUUUUAUCGGAAGGUAAGAAUAUAAAAUUUAAUCAAAAACUUUGAGUUGAAAAUUAAAAUAAAAUGAACGGAAGCGACGCAAAAAUAAUAACAUAAAUAUGGGGACCUAACCUAGACUCGAACUCAUGACUAAUUGACUCAACGUUUAAUCUUGCUUUAAACAUUUGCGCUGCAAUAGCAUUCGUUUAUAAUUACGAAAAGAACUAUAUAAAAUGUUACGUGUGUUCAAAAAUGAUUAUUUGAUACGAGUAAAUUUGUCACUAGAUAAUUGGUCUCUAACAAUUGUUAGUCGAAAAAUAAAAAUAAAAAUAAAAAAAUCUGUGAAUGGACGAGAAAUAAAUGACUAAUUUUUAUAAGGUAAGAAAAUAUAGUUCGAUUAAUUAAUUUAAUCAUUAAUAUUUUCAAUGUUACGUAAUAAUUAUUUGAGGCGUUUAAAAUACAAAUUUCAUGAAAAAUAAAUUUUAUUCUUAUAUCAAAAGGUAAAUAACGUGAAAUGACGGAAUGAAUUAGUUGUUAAAACCUAAAAGAAGUACUUGAGUACACCUAGAGGCUAGGAAGUUGACAAAAUUUGAAUUGAUUAGUUGAAUUUUCUUGCACUCUUCCUUGUAAGGCAAAUCCAUUAAUUAAGAUCUUUUUUCGGAAGGUAAGAAUAUAAAAUUUAAUUAAUUAAUUAAUUUAAUCAUCAAAAUAUUCUAUGAUAUAAAAAUUUUCAGACCCUUAGUUAUUAUUAUUAUUGAAAAUAAACUUAUUCUUAUAUAAAAAAUUUGUAGUAGUAAAUAUAACAAAGGCGAAUCGACGGAAUAAUUUUAUUAUUUUUUCAAGUCUAAGAUAAGUUCUUGAGUACACCUAGAAUUUUGACAAGAUUUGAUUUGAUAAGUUGAAUUUCUUACACUCAUCUUUUUUAAGAUCAAUUUUAUUGGAAGAUAAUAAUUUAAAAUAUAAUUAAAUUAAUGCAUUAUCAAAAUUUAUUAUGAUAUAAGUUAUUUCAGACCUUUAAUUAUUAAUUUCAUAGAUAAUAAAUGUAAUCAAAAACUUUGAGUCGAAAAUUAAAAUAAAAUGAACGGGAAGCGACGCAAAAAUAAUAACAUAAAUAUGGGGACCUAACCUAGACUCGAACUCAUGACUAAUUGACUAAACGUUUAAUCUUGCUUUAAACAUUUGCGCUGCAACAACAUUCGUUUAUAAUUACGAAAAGAACUAUAUUUACGCUUCUUAAUGAAUAUCAACUCUCUCAUAGAAGGAGUAGCCAACUGUCUUUGGGAAGUGUGUGGAAACUUUAUGUACAAGCUAUUAACUUAGGGAAGACAAACACUCAAGUUAGAUUUUCGGAUUCAAAGAAUUUCAAGUUUGAAGAGUAUCGACAUAGAUUUAAAGAUAUUUUGUCCUAUUUUUUCAGUUAUUUGAUUUAGUGGACUAUAAUAAACUACCGCGUUGUUGCACUAUUAAGCAUGUUCCUCUUGUUCGCAAGAAUGGGCUUGUUAUCGCUCUUUGUUUUUGAGUGACUUUCAUUUCGCCAAUUGUCUUUAACCCCUCGCGGCUAUAUUUACCGCCUAUAUUCAAGUCAAAUGGUCAAACUUGCACAUUCUUGUCAACUACAAUAUAUAGAAGAUUGAUAUAUUUGAACAAAGGUAGUUUAAUCAACUCGGAUUUGUCGUUGAUUUAUUAUUCCAAAUUAAAAUUAUGAACGAAAAGGAAACAAAAAAACACUAUUUAAAAUGACAACGUAUGGAGACCCAAAUUUGGUAGAAAUAGACGUAAACCUUACCCAAAAAAAAAUGAAAAAACUCAAUAAAGAAUGAAAUUAAAGUGAUAUGUUAGAAAAAAAAUAAUAUAUAUAUAUAUAUAUAUAUAUAUAGAGAGAGAGAGAGAGAGUGUCAACUCAAUUAUUUUAAUUAUUUAAAUUUUAGUCAAAAAUUUAUUUUUUGAGAUUUCAAUUUUAAUCACUCAAUUUUUAAUUGCCAAAUAUAUUUUUAUUUUUAUUUAUUCUAUAACCACUUAAUGUUUUUAAUGUUUAAUAUUAAUAAAAAAUUUCGUUCUUCAUCUUUUUUCAAUGCAAAAAUCCAUUUUUCAUUUUAUCUUUCACAAAUUUAUUUGGUUAAUUUUUUUUUAUUAUUAAUUUUAUCUUUGUAAAUAAACAAAUAAUUUUAUAUAACUAUUUUUAAUAAUAUAAAUAAUCAUUAUCGAGAUAAAUAAUAAUAUCAAAAUGUUAGAAAUAGUAUGAGUCCGGUAAAUUUUUUUGGAUUUCAAUAUUUUUCAUGAAUAAAGUUAUUUAAGUGGAAGUAUAAAAAUUUUGGAAGAAUUGUUAGAAAAAGAAACCUGAAGUAAAAAAAGUAGAAAGAGAAAAAGAAAACGUUAAAAGGUAAAGAGAGAGAUGUUUGGCCAUUUGAAAUGGAUCCACUUGGCAAAAUAUAAAUGGGCCUUAUACAAUUUUUAUCUGUCACAUCAUAUUUGUGCUUCAUGGAUAUUUCAAAAGUUGUGGUUUUAAAAGUAUUAAAAGUGGUUUUACUUUUGAGGGUAAUUUAGGUACACGAAAUAAUUGAAUUUACCCAAACACCCUUAAUUUUUCACCGAAAUUACGAAAAUACUUUGACUUUUGUUGCUCGUGUCAUUUCGUGUCAAAAAUCUGUCUUGCCAAUUAUAUUUUCCGAUUAUUUUUUUGGGACCUAAUAGCUAUAAAUAGCAUAUAGCUAGAGGACACUGACAAGUAGUACAGUAUUUUGUUUGUUUCCAAAUUUUGGCUACUAAUAUAUGAUUAUCGAGAUCUGCCUAUCACUCUAUCUUUAUUAAGACGAUUUUAUUGUUAAAAAUAUCUUCCUAAACACUCAUUACGUGUGUAACUAAUAUACACUAAUAUCUUGGAUACCUUAUUUUCUCUCCACUCUCCACCAUAUUUUGUUGUGUUGCAAGUUGCAACCUACUUUUCUCAAAUUUACAGUAAAAUUCAUUACUGUCUCAUACAUGGUACUCAAAUUUACUGUAAAAUUCAUUACUGUCUCAUCAUAAUUUUACCUAACCCCUUGAGGUUUUGAACUAGAUGUUUAGAUAUUGAUGUGUUUAGUUCGAAACAAAAUAUUUUUUGUGAAAUAUGUUUUCUCAAGAGUAUUUAUAUGUAAGAAAAUACUCGAAAGUGGGGGUUUUUUUUGGAGGGAGGGGGGGGGGGGGGGGCAGGGGAGGGGAGGUNNNNNNNNNNNNNNNNNNNNNNNNNGGGGGUUUUUUUUUGGGGGAGGGGGGGGGGGAGGGUCAAGAGGUUGGAGGUGGAGAUUUUGAGGGUACGGGGAGGAGAUAAUAAAUUUGAAAUACUCAUUUUUAAUAGGUGUUUCUAAAAUAAGUUUGUAUUAUUUAACUACAAUUAAUCAUAGAAAAGUGCUAAAAAUAGCAGAUCUCUUGCUAAAAUACUCGCUGAAAAUAUUUACUUGCCAAUCUAGCUAAAUCCAUUAUUUUAAUUUGUGGGCUGGAUACGAUGGGUGAUGACUUUUUUUUUAGAUUAUUUGUGGAAUUCAGGUUUAUAUGACAUAAAAACAGUAAUUUAUUUUGCAGAAAAUUUUUAAUGAUAAAUUUGAUUGAACGACUUUAAAAGAUAAAAUUUUU
This 8824-nucleotide long non-coding RNA is filed under the name Solanum tuberosum (potato). RNAcentral's name for it is "long non-coding RNA (STUB_LNC002185)". Lineage: Eukaryota; Viridiplantae; Streptophyta; Magnoliopsida; Solanales; Solanaceae. The record is from RNAcentral.